This 165-nucleotide ribosomal RNA is filed under the name Camellia sinensis. Its description in RNAcentral is "5.8S ribosomal RNA". It matches the Rfam family "5.8S ribosomal RNA". From Rfam's summary of the family: 5.8S ribosomal RNA (5.8S rRNA) is a component of the large subunit of the eukaryotic ribosome. It is transcribed by RNA polymerase I as part of the 45S precursor that also contains 18S and 28S rRNA. Lineage: Eukaryota; Viridiplantae; Streptophyta; Magnoliopsida; Ericales; Theaceae. The record is from RNAcentral.
UAAACAACGGUAAGCAACGUUUAUGUUGGCUCUUGGAUCGAUGAAGAAGGGAAAGAAAUGCGAUAGUUGGAGUGAAUGGCAGACUCCCGCGAACCAUUGAGUCAUUGCAAGCUAGUCCCGACAGCAUUCAGUAGGGGGCGGGCCCGCCUGCCCGGGUCUCUUUGG